This 145-nucleotide unclassified non-coding RNA is filed under the name soil metagenome. Its description in RNAcentral is "partial internal transcribed spacer 1". The record is from RNAcentral.
UAAUAAGUGUUUUAUGGCACUUUUUAAAUCCAUAUCCACCUUGUGUGCAAUGUCAGUCGAUCUUCUUCAUGGAGAUUGGCCAAACAUCAACCUUUAUUUUUUAACUCUUUGUCUGAAAAAUAUUAUGAAUAAACAAUUCAAAAUA